Molecule: ribosomal RNA, 1431 nt
Filed under: uncultured organism
Description: 16S ribosomal RNA
Rfam family: Bacterial small subunit ribosomal RNA
Source: RNAcentral
CAGGCUUAACACAUGCAAGUCGAGGGGCAUCAGGAAGAAAGCUUGCUUUCUUUGCUGGCGACCGGCGCACGGGUGAGUAACACGUAUCCAACCUGCCCUUUACUCGGGGAUAGCCUUUCGAAAGAAAGAUUAAUACCCGAUAGCAUAAUGAUUCCGCAUGGUUUCAUUAUUAAAGGAUUCCGGUAAAGGAUGGGGAUGCGUUCCAUUAGGUUGUUGGUGAGGUAACGGCUCACCAAGCCUUCGAUGGAUAGGGGUUCUGAGAGGAAGGUCCCCCACAUUGGAACUGAGACACGGUCCAAACUCCUACGGGAGGCAGCAGUGAGGAAUAUUGGUCAAUGGGCGGUAGCCUGAACCAGCCAAGCAGCGUGAAGGAUGAAGGCUCUAUGGGUCGUAAACUUCUUUUAUAUAAGAAUAAAGUGCAGUAUGUAUACUGUUUUGUAUGUAUUAUAUGAAUAAGGAUCGGCUAACUCCGUGCCAGCAGCCGCGGUAAUACGGAGGAUCCGAGCGUUAUCCGGAUUUAUUGGGUUUAAAGGGAGCGUAGGUGGACUGGUAAGUCAGUUGUGAAAGUUUGCGGCUCAACCGUAAAAUUGCAGUUGAUACUGUCAGUCUUGAGUACAGUAGAGGUGGGCGGAAUUCGUGGUGUAGCGGUGAAAUGCUUAGAUAUCACGAAAAACUCCGAUUGCGAAGGCAGCUCACUGGACUGCAACUGACACUGAUGCUCGAAAGUGUGGGUAUCAAACAGGAUUAGAUACCCUGGUAGUCCACACAGUAAACGAUGAAUACUCGCUGUUUGCGAUAUACAGUAAGCGGCCAAGCGAAAGCAUUAAGUAUUCCACCUGGGGAGUACGCCCGGCAACGGUGAAACUCAAAGGAUUUGACGGGGGCCCGCACAAGCGGAGGAACAUGUGGUUUAAUUCGAUGAUACGCGAGGAACCUUACCCGGGCUUAAAUUGCAGUGGAAUGAUGUGGAAACAUGUCAGUGAGCAAUCACCGCUGUGAAGGUGCUGCAUGGUUGUCGUCAGCUCGUGCCGUGAGGUGUCGGCUUAAGUGCCAUAACGAGCGCAACCCUUAUCUUUAGUUACUAACAGGUCAUGCUGAGGACUCUAGAGAGACUGCCGUCGUAAGAUGUGAGGAAGGUGGGGAUGACGUCAAAUCAGCACGGCCCUUACGUCCGGGGCUACACACGUGUUACAAUGGGGGGUACAGAAGGCAGCUAGCGGGUGACCGUAUGCUAAUCCCAAAAGCCUCUCUCAGUUCGGAUCGAAGUCUGCAACCCGACUUCGUGAAGCUGGAUUCGCUAGUAAUCGCGCAUCAGCCACGGCGCGGUGAAUACGUUCCCGGGCCUUGUACACACCGCCCGUCAAGCCAUGGGAGCCGGGGGUACCUGAAGUGCGUAACCACGAGGAUCGUCCUAGGGUAAAACUGGUGACU